UCCCUGGUGGCUUAGUCGGUAAAGAGUCUGCCUGCAAUGUAGGAGACCUAGGGUUCGAUCCCUGGGUUGGGAA
Molecule: transfer RNA, 73 nt
Filed under: Bos taurus (domestic cattle)
Lineage: Eukaryota; Metazoa; Chordata; Mammalia; Artiodactyla; Bovidae
Also listed under: 5 other names
Rfam family: tRNA
About the family: Transfer RNA (tRNA) molecules are approximately 80 nucleotides in length.
Source: Rfam by way of RNAcentral